Molecule: ribosomal RNA, 50 nt
Filed under: Melanoleuca cognata
Lineage: Eukaryota; Fungi; Basidiomycota; Agaricomycetes; Agaricales; Pluteaceae
Description: partial 25S ribosomal RNA
Source: RNAcentral
UUGACAAUUUGACCUCAAAUCAGGUAGGACUACCCGCUGAACUUAAGCAU